RNAcentral lists this ribosomal RNA (497 nucleotides) under uncultured bacterium. RNAcentral's name for it is "partial 16S ribosomal RNA". It matches the Rfam family "Bacterial small subunit ribosomal RNA", at positions 28 to 507 of the family's 1533-position model. The record is from RNAcentral.
GAUGAACGCUGGCGGCGUGCCUAAUACAUGCAAGUCGAGCGAACAGACGAGGAGCUUGCUCCUUUGACGUUAGCGGCGGACGAGUGAGUAACACGUGGGUAACCUACCUAUAAGACUGGGAUAACUUCGGGAAACCGGAGCUAAUACCGGAUAAUAUUUCGAACCGCAUUGUUCGAUAGUGAAAGAUGGCUUUGCUAUCACUUAUAGAUGGACCUGCGCCGUAUUAGCUAGUUGGUAAGGUAACGGCUUACCAAGGCAACGAUACGUAGCCGACCUGAGAGGGUGAUCGGCCACACUGGAACUGAGACACGGUCCAGACUCCUACGGGAGGCAGCAGUAGGGAAUCUUCCGCAAUGGGCGAAAGCCUGACGGAGCAACGCCGCGUGAGUGAUGAAGGUCUUCGGAUCGUAAAACUCUGUUAUUAGGGAAGAACAAACGUGUAAGUAACUGUGCACGUCUUGACGGUACCUAAUCAGAAAGCCACGGCUAACUACGUG